Molecule: ribosomal RNA, 425 nt
Filed under: uncultured prokaryote
Description: bacterial SSU rRNA
Rfam family: Bacterial small subunit ribosomal RNA
Source: RNAcentral
UCGAGAAUCUUCGGCAAUGGACGCAAGUCUGACCGAGCGACGCCGCGUGCAGGAUGAAGGCCUUCGGGUUGUAAACUGCUGUGGAGAGGGAGUAAACAAUGAACGAUCUCUCUAGAAAGCACAGGCUAAGUUCGUGCCAGCAGCCGCGGUAAGACGAACUGUGCAAACGUUAUUCGGAAUCACUGGGCUUAAAGGGUGCGUAGGCGGCUAUGAAGGUGAGAUGUGAAAUCCCACGGCUCAACCGUGGAACUGCGUUUCAAACCGCAUAGCUCGAGGGAGGCAGAGGUGAGUGGAACUACAGGUGGAGCGGUGAAAUGCGUUGAUAUCUGUAGGAACACCGGUGGCGAAAGCGACUCACUGGGCCUCUUCUGACGCUGUGGCACGAAAGCUAGGGUAGCGAACGGGAUUAGAUACCCCCGUAGUCC